Molecule: unclassified non-coding RNA, 296 nt
Organism: Callithrix jacchus (white-tufted-ear marmoset)
Lineage: Eukaryota; Metazoa; Chordata; Mammalia; Primates; Cebidae
Rfam family: Metazoan signal recognition particle RNA
About the family: The signal recognition particle (SRP) is a universally conserved ribonucleoprotein. It is involved in the co-translational targeting of proteins to membranes. The eukaryotic SRP consists of a 300-nucleotide 7S RNA and six proteins: SRPs 72, 68, 54, 19, 14, and 9.
Source: Ensembl
GCCAGGCGCAUGGUGGGUGCCUGUAGUCCCAGCUACUCAGAGGCUGAGGCUGGAGGAUCUCUUGAGUCGAGGAGUUCUGGGCUGUAGUGCGCUAUGCAGAUCGGGUGUCUGCACUAAGUUUGGCAUUAAUGUGGUAACUUUCUGGGAGCGGGGGAACACCAGGUUGCCUAAGGAGGGGUGAACCAGCCCAGGUUGGAAAUGGAGCAGGUCAAAACUCCCAUGCUGAUCAGUAGCGGGAUCGCCUGUGAAUAGCCACUUCACUUUAGCCUGGGCAGCAUAGUGAGACCCUGUCUCUU